ACAGGCUUGGGGUUUUGGCUUGUACAGCUGUGCAGCUGUUCUUGAUGCAGACUCAGGGCGUUUACUAUUUGCACCCUUGUUCCUUUGUUUUAGUAAGUUUUUAGUGCCACUUGCUGGCUCACUGACGGAAGUGCAUCACACUGGACCUUGUUACGUUUUACAUUACGUGCGAAAUGUCUCAGCUGGUUUGUAAUCAUUAUAUAAUGAAUGUUUAAUAUUAUCUGGCUCGUUAAUUUAGCCAGGUUCUGUUAGGAUUUCAGUAGCUACGUAUAUGUGACAAAAAUGAAGGCUUGUUGUUUACUGUUGUUGUUUACUGUUGUUUUUCUUCCUCUUCAGUAGCUUGCUAGGUUUGUUGGCUAACAAGCUACAUAUAUGUGACAAAUAAAGGCUUGUUGUUGUUUACUGUUGUUGUUCUUCAGUAGCUUGCUAGGUUUGUUGGCUAACAAGCUACAUAUAUGUGACAAAUAAAGGCUUGUUGUUGUUUACUGUUUGCUGUUGUUCUUCAGUAGCUUGCUAGGUUUGUUGGCUAACAAACUACAUAUAUGUGACAAAUAAAGGCUUGUUGUUGUUUACUGUUGUUUGCUGUUGUUCUUCAGUAGCUUGCUAGGUUUGUUGGCUAACAAGCUACAUAUAUGUGACAAAUAAAGGCUUGUUGUUGUUUACUGUGGUUGUUUGCUGUUGUUCUUCAGUAGCUUGCUAGGUUUGUUGGCUAACAAGCUACAUAUAUGUGACAAUUAAAGGCUUGUUGUUGUUUACUGUUGUUGUUUGCUGUUGUUCUUCAGUAGCUUGCUAGGUUUGUUGGCUAACAAGCUACAUAUAUGUGACAAAUAAAGGCUUGUUGUUGUUUACUGUUGUUGUUUGCUGUUGUUCUUCUUCAGUAGCUUGCUAGAUUUGUUGGCUAAAAGCCGUCUCAUGUUAAUUCCUAUAUGUGUCUAGCUAUAUAGUUUGCUGUCUAGCAAAUUUGUCUCUUACACAAAAUCCUGAGCAUGAUUACUGCAUAAAAAGCGUGCAUACAUAAUACUAUAGAUAAUAAUAUUUUAACAUGUCCUAAUGUAUGAGUAGAGUUUUUUUUUCAGUGUGUGUUUCCUCAGUAUAUGACUUUUUUUACUCUUGUGCCUCAGGGUGCAAAUGGUGCCUCAUUUCUGGAUCAAAACAAAUGAACAAAACAAAUAAAACUGUAGGUGCCUGAUCAUUUGGCCCUCUUCUACUGCCUCAGUUCCUUUGACAAAGACAAAAGUUAAUUAUUUAACACAUACAGUCUUUUAAAUGUCAUACAGUCUGCAUUGUUAAUGCAUUAUUCAUUAUAAAAUGCACAAUAAUCGUCCAUUCAUCCGUGCGUCCAUCAGAGAUCCCCGAGAGAAUGUGAUAUUUCAGGAAUAAGCAAGGAAGGAAGGAGUUUAAACCAGGAGACACCCAGGAUCUAGCACUGGACCUCUCUCUCCAUCCCCACUGCUCUAUGCAAAUCCCCCCCCCCCUUUUUUUUUGCAAUGACACUUUAACUCUGGACAUACACUAUUUACACACCACACUUCACCUGGACAUUCUAUGGACACUUUAAACUCUGGACUUGCACAGCACAGUGCCACUUUAUACACUAUUUACACAAUGCACAUUUAUAUAUUUAUGCAUAUGUAUAUACAUUAUUUCUUCAUCUGUAUUUUCAUAUUUUUAUAUAGUUUUCUUAUAUAGUUUUCUUAUAUAGUUUAUACUUUUUAUUAUUUUAUUCUUAUUUUAUUUCUUGCUUUUUUUUUUUAUACUUUUUAUAUAUUUUUUUAUUCUUAUACCGGACAGUUAAAUGCAUAAAGCAUUUCACUGCAUGUCGUACCCUGUACGUAUGUGUAUGUGACAAAUUUGAUUUGAUUUGAUUUGAUUUGAUUUGAGGAUAUCAGGCUGCUUAGGUGAGUCACUUUGCAGUGCAUUACAGAUUAAGGGUUACCUAGUAAUAUAUUUCUCACAGUAUUUGCUGACAUUCCAGUUUAUUUGAAAAUGAACAUUUUCACAGCAAGAUUUGUUCAAGAAUUGAACACUAUACAAAUUUCUUAUAAAAGUGUUAAAGAAAUGAAUGAACGUGAAGCAUGACAACUAAUGACACGUACUGUACGUAGUAAGCAAAAUGUUUAAUGACAGUAAAAAAGUAUCCUAUA
Tachysurus vachellii is the source of this 2144-nucleotide long non-coding RNA. RefSeq lists it as uncharacterized. Lineage: Eukaryota; Metazoa; Chordata; Actinopteri; Siluriformes; Bagridae. The transcript is spliced from 2 exons. The record is from RefSeq and is a predicted model, not a curated record.